Long non-coding RNA from Lucilia sericata (common green bottle fly), 359 nucleotides. RefSeq lists it as uncharacterized. NCBI's taxonomy places the organism in Eukaryota, Metazoa, Arthropoda, Insecta, Diptera, Calliphoridae. The record is from RefSeq and is a predicted model, not a curated record. The transcript is spliced from 3 exons.
AAAAAGAUUUCGUUUGGCACAGCAAAAGUGAUAAUAUUUUCCACCAUAAGAAAAUUUUAUUUUACCACAGAACUUUGAUGCCGUUUGGCACACAGUCUGAUUCGAAAAUGUGUUGAAUUCACACAGCACCCGUAAAUGUGGAGGAAGAAUUUCGUGUAUGUGAUAGUCUUACUACUUGUAUACUUUGUACACUUGGGCCCUUUAGACGAAAGGGAUUGUCAAAGACCGAAGUCCCAUGCCAAAGACCUAACAGAGCACUUUUAGCUGAGGGGGCAUGUUGCAGGGUUUUUCUCAAUUCUCUUUUAAAUGCCCUUCGUAAAAUAAUGAACGUUUAGAUGGAGACUCAAAAGGCGUGCGCC